CCUACGGGUGGCAGCAGUGAGGAAUAUUGGUCAAUGGGCGCGAGCCUGAACCAGCCAAGUAGCGUGAAGGAUGACUGCCCUACGGGUUGUAAACUUCUUUUAUAAAGGACUAAAGUGAGGCACGUGUGCCUUUUUGUAUGUACUUUAUGAAACAGGAUCGGCUAACUCCGUGCCAGCAGCCGCGGUAAUACGGAGGAUCCGAGCGUUAUCCGGAUUUAUUGGGGUUAAAGGGAGAGUAGAUGGGUUGUUAAGUCAGUUGUGAAAGUUUGCGGCUCAACCGUAAAAUUGCAAUUGAUACUGGCAGCCUUGAGGACAGUUGAGGUAGGCGGAAUUCGGGGUGUAGCGGUGAAAUGCUUAGAUAUCACGAAGAACUCCGAUUGCGAAGGCAGCUUACUAAACUGCCACUGACAUUGAUGCUCGAAAGUGUGGGUAUCAAACAGGAUUAGAUACCCUAGUAGUC
This 460-nucleotide ribosomal RNA is filed under the name uncultured bacterium. RNAcentral's name for it is "partial 16S ribosomal RNA". It matches the Rfam family "Bacterial small subunit ribosomal RNA", at positions 338 to 795 of the family's 1533-position model. The record is from RNAcentral.